RNAcentral lists this long non-coding RNA (1707 nucleotides) under Sarcophilus harrisii (Tasmanian devil). Its description in RNAcentral is "lncRNA (ENSSHAG00000029293.1)". Lineage: Eukaryota; Metazoa; Chordata; Mammalia; Dasyuromorphia; Dasyuridae. The record is from RNAcentral.
GGCAUCGACCUUAGUUUGUGUGUAUCUUUUUUGUAGGGACAAGGGAGAUAUAAGUAGAAGAGCAGAAAAAGAGGCAGUAGCCCGUUUAUGUGACGAAUAUGGUAAAAAAAAAUCUAUGCAUGUUAGCCUUAAGCAUCCAGCUUCGCAUCUUUAAUUUUCUUUACAAACCAUUGUUCAUUCUCGUGAUCUUUUCGUCCUUUUGAAGUGAGACCACAGCUCAGGGACUGCAUUCAGGUGGUAGCCGAGGUAGAGGACAGGGGGUGGAGAGGGAGAACCUCAGGGGCCGCCAAUAGCUACGGUCCACUGCUGCGCGCUCAUCUUGGGCAGCGGUAUUUACGGUAAAGGAGGGGGCGGGAGAGGGGGAGGGGGGACCGCCAGAGCUGUCCGUUCUCCCUCCGUGUCAGGUGAUCUCGAGCUAGGAGCCGAGCCCAGCCGAGCCGUGUAGCUGCCGCUGCUCCUGCUGCCUAAGGAAAAUGCAAAAUGGCACAUUGGGGAUGUGAGGGAUUCUGCCACUCGCUUUCGCGGCCCAGAUCCACCGCAUCCUCUCUCCGCAGUUCGCGGGCAAGCAUGCGGCUGUAGGUCCCUGCCGGGCUGUCCCCGGGUAUCCUAGCCAAAGUGGUGGUGAUUCGGCAGCGGCUGCUGCCGGAGCAGGGGGGGGGGGGGGGAGACCGACGAGAGAAGGUGUUUCCUCUCGGCUCCCCCCCACCCCGAACCCCCCUCCCCUGCCUUCUCCUCCUCUUCCUCCUUUUCCUCUUCCCCCUCCCCCUCCCUGCCUCCUCCCCCUCUUCUGCCUUCUCCUCCUCCUCCUCCUCCCCUUUUACCUCCUCCUCCUCCUCCUCUGGCUCCCCACACCCCGCUCCAUAGUGAAACAUGGGACUGUGCUACAGUCUGCGGCCACGGCUCUUUGGGGAUCCCAGCGGCUCCACUUCCAAUGCCACGACCUCGGAAUCGGAGCCGCCACCACCGCAGCAGCAGCAACAGCAACAGCUGCCCCAGCAGCAACCGGACCGCACCGCCCUGCCACCACUAAGCUCCGGGGAGCUUCGCCGUCCCGGGGACCCACGGACAGCGGCUGCGAUCAGGGUUGGGAGUGGAGAAGGUGGCGGUGGUAGCAGCAACGGUGGAGGUUGCGUGGGGGAAGCGGUGGUGUCAACAGCAGCUGCAGGGUCGCUCAGCCACGGGGACGUCGCGGGCAAGCAGCUGUGCGUCGGGGACCGGGACGGAGCGCUAGUCCUGCAGAACGGUGGCGGUGGCAGCGGCAGCGCUGGGAAUGGGGCGGCGGAAAGGCAGCAGAAGCACCCGCAGCAGCCCAAGCAGCAGCCCAAGCAGCAGCCGCCGAAGCAGCAACAGAAGCAGCAGCAGCCUUCGAAGCAGCAGCAGCAGAAACAGCAACAGCAAAAACAGCAGCAGCAGAAACAGCAGCAGCAGAAGCACGGCAAGCAGAAGCAGCAGCCGCUCAAGCAGCACUGGGACAAACUGCGCGUGGAGGAACGUGAGGCCGAGAGGGAAGCGAAGAAAGUGAGCAAGAGCAUCGACCGGGCGCUCAAGGAGCAGAAGAGGGAGUACAAACAGACUCACAGACUUCUCUUACUGGGCGAGAUGACAAACGGAUUGGAUUCCAUGGGACUACAACAACCAACCAGGAGGUCAAAAAUUUUAUGGAGCAAUGACCUAGAUAUUUUCAUAUACAUCAUAAUUGGUAAUUGA